RNAcentral lists this non-coding RNA (224 nucleotides) under Clostridium massiliodielmoense. RNAcentral's name for it is "glmS glucosamine-6-phosphate activated ribozyme". It matches the Rfam family "glmS glucosamine-6-phosphate activated ribozyme aptamer", at positions 8 to 154 of the family's 167-position model. From Rfam's summary of the family: This entry contains a glucosamine-6-phosphate activated ribozyme that is found in the mRNA for GlmS. GlmS is an enzyme that uses fructose-6-phosphate and glutamine to generate glucosamine-6-phosphate. The record is from RNAcentral. Lineage: Bacteria; Bacillati; Bacillota; Clostridia; Eubacteriales; Clostridiaceae.
AAUAUUAAAGCGCCAGAACUUAAGUUAAGAAAAUGCUUUAAAAUAAGCUAAUAGAACUGAAUUUAAUGAUUUGAGUAAGUUCGACUAACUAAAUCAUAGAUUUAGAGUCUCACUUAAGUUGACGAGGAUGGGGAGUAUCGAGGAUUCGGCGGAUGUCCCACGGUAUUUAUGUACUACCGAUAACAGUUAGCAAAGCUAAAAAGUGAUUUUUAGAACAAAUCUAA